This 503-nucleotide ribosomal RNA is filed under the name uncultured bacterium. Its description in RNAcentral is "partial 16S ribosomal RNA". It matches the Rfam family "Bacterial small subunit ribosomal RNA", at positions 30 to 523 of the family's 1533-position model. The record is from RNAcentral.
AUUGAACGCUGGCGGCAGGCUUAACACAUGCAAGUCGAGCGGGGUGAUGGUGCUUGCACUAUCACUUAGCGGCGGACGGGUGAGUAAUGCUUAGGAAUCUGCCUAUUAGUGGGGGACAACAUCUCGAAAGGGAUGCUAAUACCGCAUACGCCCUACAGGAGAAAGCAGGGGAUCACUUGUGACCUUGCGCUAAUAGAUGAGCCUAAGUCGGAUUAGCUAGUUGGUGGGGUAAAGGCCUACCAAGGCGACGAUCUGUAGCGGGUCUGAGAGGAUGAGCCGCCACACUGGGACUGAGACACGGCCCAGACUCCUACGGGAGGCAGCAGUGGGGAAUAUUGGACAAUGGGGGGAACCCUGAUCCAGCCAUGCCGCGUGUGUGAAGAAGGCCUUAUGGUUGUAAAGCACUUUAAGCGAGGAGGAGGCUCUUUUGGUUAAUACCCAAGAUGAGUGGACGUUACUCGCAGAAUAAGCACCGGCUAACUCUGUGCCAGCCGCCGCCGUAA